GAGAGAGAGAGGAAGAGGGACAGAGUGAAUGAGAAGACAGAGAGAGGUGGAGGGAGAGAGAGAGGAAGAGGGACAGAGUGAAUGAGAAGACAGAGAGAGGUGGAGGGAGAGAGAGAGGAAGAGGGACAGAGUGAAUGAGGAGACAGAGAGAGAGGGAGGGAGAGAGAGAGGAAGAGGGACGGAGUGAAUGAGAAGGAGACAGAGGGAGGGAGAGAGAGAGGAAGAGGGACGGAGUGAAUGAGGAGACAGAGAGAGGGAGCGGGAGGAGAGAGAGAAAGAGGGACAGAGUGAAUGAGAAGGAGUCAGAGAGAGGUAGAGGGAGGGAGAGAGAGGAAGAUGGACAGAGUGAAUGAGAGGGAGACAGAGAGAGGGAGUGGGAGGAGAGAGAGGAAGAUAGACAGAGUGAAUGAGAGGGAGACAGAGAGAGGGAGUGGGAGGGAGAGAGAGAGAGAAAGAUGGACAAAGUGAAUGUGAAGGAGACAGAGAGAGGUAGAGGGAGGGAGGGAGAGAGAGAGAGAAAGAUGGACAGAGUGAAUGAGAAGGAGACAGAGAGAGGGAGCGGGAGGGAGGGAGAGAGAGAGAGAAAGAUGGACAAAGUGAAUGUGAAGGAGACAGAGAGGGGUAGAGGGAGGGAGAGAGAGAGAGAAAGAUGGACAGAGUGA
This is a long non-coding RNA of Oncorhynchus tshawytscha (Chinook salmon), 662 nucleotides long. NCBI's taxonomy places the organism in Eukaryota, Metazoa, Chordata, Actinopteri, Salmoniformes, Salmonidae. The record is from Ensembl.